This 253-nucleotide ribosomal RNA is filed under the name uncultured bacterium. RNAcentral's name for it is "partial 16S ribosomal RNA". It matches the Rfam family "Bacterial small subunit ribosomal RNA", at positions 524 to 776 of the family's 1533-position model. The record is from RNAcentral.
UACAGAGGUCUCAAGCGUUGUUCGGAUUCAUUGGGCGUAAAGGGUGUGUAGGUGGCGCCGUAAGUCGGGUGUGAAAUUCCGGAGCUUAACUCCGAAACUGCAUUCGAUACUGCGGUGCUUGAGGACUGGAGAGGAGACUGGAAUUUACGGUGUAGCAGUGAAAUGCGUAGAUAUCGUAAGGAAGACCAGUGGCGAAGGCGGGUCUCUGGACAGUUCCUGACACUGAGGCACGAAGGCCAGGGGAGCAAACGGG